CACACACACACACACACACAGAAAACAUUCUCAGUUUAGUUAUUAAUAUUUUGAAUUAAUAUUUCAAGACAAAUUUAAUGGUGCAAGUAAGUCUGGGCCUCCCUUUGCUCCACCAUAGGUGUACUGAUUCCAUUGCAGUUUGUUGCACUUCAGAGGAGCCUGACACCUACAAGAUCUAGAAUUCUAUAUAUUUUUUUCAAAUAUAAUACAUCAGUCCACUGUGACCCCCAAACUGAGAAACACCAAGCUUUUAAAUGGUCACUUUGGAGUCCCUUAAAUUUUAUUUACAUUUACCUUAUAAAUAAAUAUAGAGAUAAAUAGAAAACUUUCAGUCUUUGAUAGUAUAAAAGGAAAUAUGGAGAUCAUAGAUAUGGGGUGGACUAAGGAUAUGAUGCACAUUGCUAUAAAGAACUACCUAAGACUGGGUAAUUUAUGGAGAAAAGAGGUUUAAUUGAUUCACAGUUUCACAAACUGUGCAGCAGGCAUGGCUGGAGGAGCCUUAGGAAACUUACAGUCAUUGCAGAAGGGUGAAGGGGAAGUAAGAACAUCUUCACAUGAUGGCAGGAGUGAGAGAGCAAAGGGGGAAGUGCUACACACUUUUAAACAACCAGAUCUGGUGAGAACUCACUAUCACAGGAACAGCAAGGCGGAAAUCCAUCCCCAUGAUCCAAUCAUGUCCUACCAGGUCCUUCCCCCAAUAUUGGGAAUUACACUUUGACCUGAGAUUUGGGUGUGGACACAGAGCCAAACCACACCAGUGGACAAGGGAAAGGCUACUUCAUGUUAAUGUCUAAAGUUGAUGAAAUAAGCAGAAAUUUAAGAAUAUGAUUUAAAUUGCAAAGAUAACUGAUCAUAUUACUAAUAAAUAAUAAAACUAUGGGGAGGCAGGAAAGAGCAGUUGAUGACUAACAUAAAGGAACACAUUCUUAACUUUCAGGAGGAUAGGAAGAUAGGAAGUCAUAAAUGAUGACUGGAAUUGAAAAAGCAAAAAAAAAAAAAAAUGUGAUCUGUAUGCC
Molecule: long non-coding RNA, 1016 nt
Organism: Sapajus apella (tufted capuchin)
Lineage: Eukaryota; Metazoa; Chordata; Mammalia; Primates; Cebidae
Exons: 3
Source: RefSeq, a predicted model, not a curated record